CUCUUCUUGUGUGGAACCUAGGAUUCGAGCUGUGGGCAGAAAGUGCUCUAGCAGGGACUCUGGCUUUGAAAGAGUCCCUUUUUCCUCCUUUUCUUCCUUUACACCCAAUAAAACCUGUCUUACCCUUCAAACUGUCUGCACGCCUGAAUUUUUAUGGCUGUGGGACAAAGGACCUCAUCUUUAGCUGAACUAAGGAAAAAGUCCUGCAACAUUUUUGGCGUGCAACGUAGGGACUUGAGAAGCGGUCAUCAAACUCCAAGUGGCCAUGCAACCAGAGCCUCUGAUGAUGGCCCCUUCUGCUGGGAACCUUACACAGGCCUCUGAGGGAGCUUUAACUGCCGUUUCCCCAAAACAGCACCCCUGUCAGCAGGAAGCAGUUAAGAUCGGUCUUCAUACUUAUCCUUAUUCUAAGGGCAGUUGGAUGUGCUUCUUUAGAGGGGCGAAUGAGGCAGCCAAGUGGGAGGGGGUCCCUGGAAAAACUCCAACCAGCCUGCACACUGGGGUGG
RNAcentral lists this long non-coding RNA (506 nucleotides) under Homo sapiens (human). Its description in RNAcentral is "non-protein coding lnc-BMP15-1:6". The record is from RNAcentral. Lineage: Eukaryota; Metazoa; Chordata; Mammalia; Primates; Hominidae.